RNAcentral lists this long non-coding RNA (369 nucleotides) under Mytilus galloprovincialis (Mediterranean mussel). Lineage: Eukaryota; Metazoa; Mollusca; Bivalvia; Mytilida; Mytilidae. The record is from RNAcentral.
CUUGUAAACAUUUUACAAAUUACAAAAAUAUACCACAAUUCCAUCUAUAUACAUUCACAAUGUCCUCUAAAUACAUAUCAAUACAAACAUAACUGUAAUAUAUUAUGCAGAGCUUAACGUUAACUUCGUCUAUCAAAGUUACUCGAGCACAUCGAUAAUAAUCAAACGUAAUCAGGACUUAUAUAUGCCUAUAAAAACCCCACCCGUACUACCGCCCUCGAAAUAUUCGUGCAGAAAACAACAGUAACAUCAGACCACUUCUGAUUUACAUACUAGCCAAACUUGUACCACAAGUCUAAAGAUAGAAAUAGAAUAGGGAAAUUCCAAAUAUAACGGAAUAGAAAUAAAUUUAAAUUCUCCCUCAUGAAU